This 521-nucleotide ribosomal RNA is filed under the name Acordulecera sp. Sus38. Its description in RNAcentral is "eukaryotic LSU rRNA". It matches the Rfam family "Eukaryotic large subunit ribosomal RNA", at positions 666 to 1138 of the family's 3401-position model. The record is from RNAcentral. Lineage: Eukaryota; Metazoa; Arthropoda; Insecta; Hymenoptera; Pergidae.
CCAAGGAGUCUAACAUGUGCGCGAGUCAUUGGGAAAUUGAAACCUAAAGGCGCAAUGAAAGUGAAUGUCGGCCUUGAGUCGAGAGAGGGAGGAUGAGCCGCGUCACGAUGCGGCUCCGCACUCCCGGGGCGUCUCGUUCUCAUUGCGAGAAGAGGCGCACCCAGAGCGUACACGUUGGGACCCGAAAGAUGGUGAACUAUGCCUGGUCAGGACGAAGUCAGGGGAAACCCUGAUGGAGGUCCGUAGCGAUUCUGACGUGCAAAUCGAUCGUCGGAACUGGGUAUAGGGGCGAAAGACUAAUCGAACCAUCUAGUAGCUGGUUCCCUCCGAAGUUUCCCUCAGGAUAGCUGGCACUCGAGUAAGAAACUUUAAAGAGUCUCAUUCGGUAAAGCGAAUGAUUAGAGGCCUUGGGGCCGAAACGACCUCAACCUAUUCUCAAACUUUAAAUGGGUGAGAUCUCUGGCUUGCUUGAACUAUGAAGCCACGAGAUUUCGGAUCAGAGUGCCAAGUGGGCCAUUUUU